CAAAAAGGCUGUCUGCAUCCUCCCCCGUGCCUCCUUGUUCAUUUAUUAAUCCCACAACCACCCCUCAAAGCCAAGGGCUGGCAGAAGACAGGAUAUGACAUUUCCAUGUUGCAGAAUGGCCACCUGUUUAAUGGAGAACAUAGUGAGAUUGUCACCAUUUGUCUGUGUCUUUUCUUUUUAGAAAGCACCCUGUGCGCUCGGGAUGUUUUUUACUGAGGCAUUACAACAGAGACAAUCGAGGAAGUGAUGAGACACAACCCUGUGGAGCAGCUUAUUUUCAUGUCUUUGUCACUUUCCGGUCUGGGGAUGUACCGUCAAAUCGAGAGGACACCGAGACAUCUUGUAAAUGUUUACAGGUUAUGGUCAUUUUGUGAGGUCUGUCUAAAAGAAAUGAAUACUUUUCCCCCCGAAUGAACUCUGAAGGUCUGUUUAAUUUAAUGCCCACUUUCUAUGCAGGGGAAGACGCAAAAAGAAGAUGCUGAUGAGUAAAUGUGGCUUUUGCGGUUCUGGGACUCAUUUCAUGAAGGGGAUUUGCAAGGAUUCACAGUCACUUUCCAAUCGCAAGCUCGAUUUCAGGAAACAUUCUCCAAUAAAUCUUUGACUCCCCGUCUGGAGUUGCAAGGAGGAGAUUACCAGCCCUUUUCCAUCAGAUUCCCCAAGAUCUGGAGAAAGAAAAAUGAAGAUAUGCUCAUGAAUAAACUGGCGGAUCCACAAGAAAAAUUCCUCAAGAUGUUGCAGCUGGAGUCUUUCCCAGAAACCAGUAUGGGAGAGAGAGCACAUUUAUCAUCAAGGAACAGCGAAAGUAGAAGAAAUAAAUAAAUAAUGUGCACAAUGACUCUCCAGUACAAGAAUUACACAUAAAGAGGAAACUGUGUUUCCAGUAUUUAAAAGGUUGUUAUACAUCUGCUCAGCCAUGAUAGUGUUCUUCACUUCAAUUAUAUUAUACUGUGUAAUGCAUCUAUUCAUCCAUUGGUAAAGAGCCCAAUAAAAUGAUGUUUUAACAA
This is a long non-coding RNA of Anguilla rostrata (American eel), 1004 nucleotides long. RefSeq lists it as uncharacterized. The record is from RefSeq and is a predicted model, not a curated record. NCBI's taxonomy places the organism in Eukaryota, Metazoa, Chordata, Actinopteri, Anguilliformes, Anguillidae. The transcript has 3 exons.